This 394-nucleotide ribosomal RNA is filed under the name uncultured bacterium. RNAcentral's name for it is "bacterial SSU rRNA". It matches the Rfam family "Bacterial small subunit ribosomal RNA", at positions 505 to 898 of the family's 1533-position model. The record is from RNAcentral.
GUGUCAGCAGCCGCGGUAAUACGUAGGUCCCGAGCGUUGUCCGGAUUUAUUGGGCGUAAAGCGAGCGCAGGUGGUUUAAUAAGUCUGAUGUAAAAGGCAGUGGCUCAACCAUUGUGUGCAUUGGAAACUGUUAGACUUGAGUGCAGUAGAGGAGAGUGGAAUUCCAUGUGUAGCGGUGAAAUGCGUAGAUAUAUGGAGGAACACCGGUGGCGAAAGCGGCUCUCUGGACUGUAACUGACACUGAGGCUCGAAAGCGUGGGUAGCAAACAGGAUUAGAUACCCUGGUAGUCCACGCCGUAAACGAUGAGUGCUAGUUGUUUGGGGCUAUCCAGCCCUAAGUGACGCAGCAAACGCAUUAAGCACUCCGCCUGGGGAGUACGACCGCAAGGUUGAA